GGGGACAACCCGGGGAAACUCGGGCUAAUACCGCAUACGCCCUACGGGGUAAAGCAGGGGACCUUCGGGCCUUGCGCUGAUGGAUGAGCUCGCGUCGGAUUAGCUUGUUGGUGAGGUAAAGGCUCACCAAGGCGACGAUCCGUAGCUGGUCUGAGAGGAUGAUCAGCCACGACCGGGACUGAGACACCGGCCCGGACUCCGUACGGGAGGCAGCAGGUGGGGAAUCUUGGACAAGUGGGGCAACCCUGAUCCAGCCAUGCCGCGUGUGUGAAGAAGGCCUUCGGGUUGUAAAGCACUUCAGCAGGAGGAAGGCUACCCUAAUACGGGUGAGUACUUGACGUUACCUGCAGAAGAAGCACCGGCUAAUUUCGUG
This 373-nucleotide ribosomal RNA is filed under the name uncultured bacterium. RNAcentral describes it as "bacterial SSU rRNA". It matches the Rfam family "Bacterial small subunit ribosomal RNA", at positions 139 to 507 of the family's 1533-position model. The record is from RNAcentral.